GGUUAAGCGACUAAGCGUACACGGUGGAUGCCCUGGCAGUCAGAGGCGAUGAAGGACGUGCUAAUCUGCGAUAAGCGUCGGUAAGGUGAUAUGAACCGUUAUAACCGGCGAUUUCCGAAUGGGGAAACCCAGUGUGUUUCGACACACUAUCAUUAACUGAAUCCAUAGGUUAAUGAGGCGAACCGGGGGAACUGAAACAUCUAAGUACCCCGAGGAAAAGAAAUCAACCGAGAUUCCCCCAGUAGCGGCGAGCGAACGGGGAGCAGCCCAGAGCCUGAAUCAGUGUGUGUGUUAGUGGAAGCGUCUGGAAAGGCGCGCGAUACAGGGUGACAGCCCCGUACACAAAAAUGCACAUGCUGUGAGCUCGAUGAGUAGGGCGGGACACGUGGUAUCCUGUCUGAAUAUGGGGGGACCAUCCUCCAAGGCUAAAUACUCCUGACUGACCGAUAGUGAACCAGUACCGUGAGGGAAAGGCGAAAAGAACCCCGGCGAGGGGAGUGAAAAAGAACCUGAAACCGUGUACGUACAAGCAGUGGGAGCACGCUUAGGCGUGUGACUGCGUACCUUUUGUAUAAUGGGUCAGCGACUUAUAUUCUGUAGCAAGGUUAACCGAAUAGGGGAGCCGAAGGGAAACCGAGUCUUAACUGGGCGUUAAGUUGCAGGGUAUAGACCCGAAACCCGGUGAUCUAGCCAUGGGCAGGUUGAAGGUUGGGUAACACUAACUGGAGGACCGAACCGACUAAUGUUGAAAAAUUAGCGGAUGACUUGUGGCUGGGGGUGAAAGGCCAAUCAAACCGGGAGAUAGCUGGUUCUCCCCGAAAGCUAUUUAGGUAGCGCCUCGUGAAUUCAUCUCCGGGGGUAGAGCACUGUUUCGGCAAGGGGGUCAUCCCGACUUACCAACCCGAUGCAAACUGCGAAUACCGGAGAAUGUUAUCACGGGAGACACACGGCGGGUGCUAACGUCCGUCGUGAAGAGGGAAACAACCCAGACCGCCAGCUAAGGUCCCAAAGUCAUGGUUAAGUGGGAAACGAUGUGGGAAGGCCCAGACAGCCAGGAUGUUGGCUUAGAAGCAGCCAUCAUUUAAAGAAAGCGUAAUAGCUCACUGGUCGAGUCGGCCUGCGCGGAAGAUGUAACGGGGCUAAACCAUGCACCGAAGCUGCGGCAGCGACGCUUAUGCGUUGUUGGGUAGGGGAGCGUUCUGUAAGCCUGCGAAGGUGUGCUGUGAGGCAUGCUGGAGGUAUCAGAAGUGCGAAUGCUGACAUAAGUAACGAUAAAGCGGGUGAAAAGCCCGCUCGCCGGAAGACCAAGGGUUCCUGUCCAACGUUAAUCGGGGCAGGGUGAGUCGACCCCUAAGGCGAGGCCGAAAGGCGUAGUCGAUGGGAAACAGGUUAAUAUUCCUGUACUUGGUGUUACUGCGAAGGGGGGACGGAGAAGGCUAUGUUGGCCGGGCGACGGUUGUCCCGGUUUAAGCGUGUAGGCUGGUUUUCCAGGCAAAUCCGGAAAAUCAAGGCUGAGGCGUGAUGACGAGGCACUACGGUGCUGAAGCAACAAAUGCCCUGCUUCCAGGAAAAGCCUCUAAGCAUCAGGUAACAUCAAAUCGUACCCCAAACCGACACAGGUGGUCAGGUAGAGAAUACCAAGGCGCUUGAGAGAACUCGGGUGAAGGAACUAGGCAAAAUGGUGCCGUAACUUCGGGAGAAGGCACGCUGAUAUGUAGGUGAGGUCCCUCGCGGAUGGAGCUGAAAUCAGUCGAAGAUACCAGCUGGCUGCAACUGUUUAUUAAAAACACAGCACUGUGCAAACACGAAAGUGGACGUAUACGGUGUGACGCCUGCCCGGUGCCGGAAGGUUAAUUGAUGGGGUCAGCGCAAGCGAAGCUCUUGAUCGAAGCCCCGGUAAACGGCGGCCGUAACUAUAACGGUCCUAAGGUAGCGAAAUUCCUUGUCGGGUAAGUUCCGACCUGCACGAAUGGCGUAAUGAUGGCCAGGCUGUCUCCACCCGAGACUCAGUGAAAUUGAACUCGCUGUGAAGAUGCAGUGUACCCGCGGCAAGACGGAAAGACCCCGUGAACCUUUACUAUAGCUUGACACUGAACAUUGAGCCUUGAUGUGUAGGAUAGGUGGGAGGCUUUGAAGUGUGGACGCCAGUCUGCAUGGAGCCGACCUUGAAAUACCACCCUUUAAUGUUUGAUGUUCUAACGUUGACCCGUGAUCCGGGUUGCGGACAGUGUCUGGUGGGUAGUUUGACUGGGGCGGUCUCCUCCUAAAGAGUAACGGAGGAGCACGAAGGUUGGCUAAUCCUGGUCGGACAUCAGGAGGUUAGUGCAAUGGCAUAAGCCAGCUUGACUGCGAGCGUGACGGCGCGAGCAGGUGCGAAAGCAGGUCAUAGUGAUCCGGUGGUUCUGAAUGGAAGGGCCAUCGCUCAACGGAUAAAAGGUACUCCGGGGAUAACAGGCUGAUACCGCCCAAGAGUUCAUAUCGACGGCGGUGUUUGGCACCUCGAUGUCGGCUCAUCACAUCCUGGGGCUGAAGUAGGUCCCAAGGGUAUGGCUGUUCGCCAUUUAAAGUGGUACGCGAGCUGGGUUUAGAACGUCGUGAGACAGUUCGGUCCCUAUCUGCCGUGGGCGCUGGAGAACUGAGGGGGGCUGCUCCUAGUACGAGAGGACCGGAGUGGACGCAUCACUGGUGUUCGGGUUGUCAUGCCAAUGGCACUGCCCGGUAGCUAAAUGCGGAAGAGAUAAGUGCUGAAAGCAUCUAAGCACGAAACUUGCCCCGAGAUGAGUUCUCCCUGACCCUUUAAGGGUCCUGAAGGAACGUUGAAGACGACGACGUUGAUAGGCCGGGUGUGUAAGCGCAGCGAUGCGUUGAGCUAACCGGUACUAAUGAACCGUGAGGCUUAACCUU
RNAcentral lists this ribosomal RNA (2904 nucleotides) under Escherichia coli. RNAcentral's name for it is "23S ribosomal RNA". It matches the Rfam family "Bacterial large subunit ribosomal RNA". Lineage: Bacteria; Pseudomonadati; Pseudomonadota; Gammaproteobacteria; Enterobacterales; Enterobacteriaceae. The record is from RNAcentral.